GAUUAGUUUGAUCCUGGCUCAGGAUGAACGCUAGCGGCAGGCUUAACACAUGCAAGUCGAGGGGUAAGGUAGCAAUAUCUGAGACCGGCGCACGGGUGCGUAACGCGUAUGCAAUCUACCUUUCACAGAGGGAUAGCCCAGAGAAAUUUGGAUUAAUACCUCAUAGUAUAAUGAUUUGGCAUCAAGACAUUAUUAAAGUCACAACGGUGAAAGAUGAGCAUGCGUCCCAUUAGCUAGUUGGUAUGGUAACGGCAUACCAAGGCGACGAUGGGUAGGGGUCCUGAGAGGGAGAUCCCCCACACUGGUACUGAGACACGGACCAGACUCCUACGGGAGGCAGCAGUGAGGAAUAUUGGACAAUGGGCGAAAGCCUGAUCCAGCCAUGCCGCGUGCAGGAUGAAGGCCUUCGGGUUGUAGACUGCUUUUGUACGGAACGAAAAGACUCUGGUUAAUACCUGGGGUCCAUGACGGUACCGUAAGAAUAAGCACCGGCUAACUACGUGCCAGCAGCCGCGGUAAUACGUAGGGUGCAAGCGUUAAUCGGAAUUACUGGGCGUAAAGCGUGCGCAGGCGGUUAUAUAAGACAGAUGUGAAAUCCCCGGGCUCAACCUGGGAACUGCAUUUGUGACUGUAUAGCUAGAGUACGGCAGAGGGGGAUGGAAUUCCGCGUGUAGCAGUGAAAUGCGUAGAUAUGCGGAGGAACACCGAUGGCGAAGGCAAUCCCCUGGGCCUGUACUGACGCUCAUGCACGAAAGCGUGGGGAGCAAACAGGAUUAGAUACCCUGGUAGUCC
RNAcentral lists this ribosomal RNA (792 nucleotides) under uncultured bacterium. RNAcentral's name for it is "bacterial SSU rRNA". It matches the Rfam family "Bacterial small subunit ribosomal RNA", at positions 1 to 796 of the family's 1533-position model. The record is from RNAcentral.